Molecule: ribosomal RNA, 292 nt
Filed under: uncultured bacterium
Lineage: Bacteria
Description: partial 16S ribosomal RNA
Rfam family: Bacterial small subunit ribosomal RNA
Source: RNAcentral
AAAGCCUACGGGACGCAGCAGUGGGGAAUAUUGCACAAUGGGGGAAACCCUGAUGCAGCGACGCCGCGUGAGUGAAGAAGUAUUUCGGUAUGUAAAGCCCUAUCAGCAGGGAAGAAACAGGACAGUACCUGACUAAGAAGCCCCGGCUAACUACGUGCCAGCAGCCGCGGUAAUACGUAGGGGGCAAGCGUUAUCCGGAUUCACUGGGCGUAAAGGGAGCGCAGGCGGCAUGGCAAGUCUGAUGUGAAAACCCGGGGCUCAACUCCGGGAGUGCAUUUGAAACUGUCCAGCU